CCUACGGGUGGCAGCAGUGGGGAAUAUUGCACAAUGGGGGAAACCCUGAUGCAGCAACGCCGCGUGAAGGAAGACGGUUUUCGGAUUGUAAACUUCUGUUCUUAGUGAAGAAUAAUGACGGUAGCUGAGGAGCAAGCCACGGCUAACUACGUGCCAGCAGCCGCGGUAAUACGUAGGUGGCAAGCGUUGUCCGGAAUUACUGGGUGUAAAGGGAGCGCAGGCGGGAAGCCAAGUCAGAUGUGAAAUCUACAGGCUUAACUUGUAGACAGCAGUUAAAACUGUUUUACUAGAGUGCAGGAGAGGUAGGUGGAAUUCCGAGUGUAGCGGUGAAAUGCGUAGAGAUUAGGAGGAACACCAGUGGCGAAGGCGGCUAACUGGACUUUAACUGACGCUGAGGCAUGAGAGUGUGGGGAGCAAACAGGAUUAGAUACCCGAGUAGUC
RNAcentral lists this ribosomal RNA (441 nucleotides) under uncultured bacterium. RNAcentral's name for it is "partial 16S ribosomal RNA". It matches the Rfam family "Bacterial small subunit ribosomal RNA", at positions 338 to 795 of the family's 1533-position model. The record is from RNAcentral.